RNAcentral lists this ribosomal RNA (500 nucleotides) under uncultured bacterium. RNAcentral's name for it is "partial 16S ribosomal RNA". It matches the Rfam family "Bacterial small subunit ribosomal RNA", at positions 30 to 523 of the family's 1533-position model. The record is from RNAcentral.
AUUGAACGCUGGCGGCAUGCCUUACACAUGCAAGUCGAACGGUAACGGGUCCUUCGGGAUGCCGACGAGUGGCGAACGGGUGAGUAAUAUAUCGGAACGUGCCCAGUAGUGGGGGAUAACUGCUCGAAAGAGCAGCUAAUACCGCAUACGACCUGAGGGUGAAAGGGGGGGAUCGCAAGACCUCUCGCUAUUGGAGCGGCCGAUAUCAGAUUAGCUAGUUGGUGGGGUAAAGGCCUACCAAGGCAACGAUCUGUAGUUGGUCUGAGAGGACGAGCAGCCUUACUGGGACUUUGGUACGGCGUCCACGCCGACAGGGGGAGUCAGUGGGGAUUGUUAGACUAUGGGCUAAAGAUUGAUCCAGCAAUGCCGGGUGGAGGAAGUAGUCCUUCGGCUUGUGACCUUCUUUUUCCAGGGAAGAAAGCUUCUGGCCUAACACCCCGGGAGGAUGACGGUACCUGAAGAAUAAGCACCGGCUAACUACGUGCCAGACGCUGUUGUAA